GCCUAGACAUGCAAGUCGAGCGGCAAGGCAGCAAUGCCCUAGAGCGGCGCACGGGUGCGUAACGCGUAUGCAACCUGCCUCUAACAGGGGGAUAGCCCGUUGAAAGACGGAUUAAUACCCCAUAGUAUAAUUGGGUGGCAUCACUUAAUUAUUAAAGCUCCGGCGGUUAGAGAUGGGCAUGCGUGACAUUAGCUGGUUGGUAAGGUAACGGCUUACCAAGGCUACGAUGUCUAGGGGUUCUGAGAGGAUGAUCCCCCACACUGGUACUGAGACACGGACCAGACUCCUACGGGAGGCAGCAGUGAGGAAUAUUGGUCAAUGGGCGCAAGCCUGAACCAGCCAUCCCGCGUGAAGGAAGAAUGUCCUAUGGAUUGUAAACUUCUUUUGUACACCAAGAAUUGGUCCUACGUGUAGGGCUUUGACGGUAGUGUAUGAAUAAGCAUCGGCUAACUCCGUGCCAGCAGCCGCGGUAAUACGGAGGAUGCAAGCGUUAUCCGGAUUCAUUGGGUUUAAAGGGUACGUAGGUGGCCUGAUAAGUCAGUGGUGAAAGUUUUCGGCUUAACCGGAAAAUUGCCAUUGAUACCGUCGGGCUUGAGUACAGUUGAGGUAGGCGGAAUGUGUAGUGUAGCGGUGAAAUGCUUAGAUAUUACACAGAACUCCGAUUGCGAAGGCAGCUUACUAAGUUGUUACUGACACUGAGGUACGAAAGCGUGG
RNAcentral lists this ribosomal RNA (714 nucleotides) under uncultured bacterium. Its description in RNAcentral is "bacterial SSU rRNA". It matches the Rfam family "Bacterial small subunit ribosomal RNA", at positions 46 to 764 of the family's 1533-position model. The record is from RNAcentral.